The sequence is a non-coding RNA, 348 nucleotides long. It matches the Rfam family "Bacterial RNase P class A". Rfam says of the family: Ribonuclease P (RNase P) is a ubiquitous endoribonuclease, found in archaea, bacteria and eukarya as well as chloroplasts and mitochondria. Its best characterised activity is the generation of mature 5'-ends of tRNAs by cleaving the 5'-leader elements of precursor-tRNAs. Cellular RNase Ps are ribonucleoproteins. The record is from Rfam.
UGAGUAUGAAAGGUAAUCGCCAGUACGGCAGUAUUGGAGGAAAGUCCGAGCUCCGCAGGGCAGGAUGCCGGAUAACGUCCGGCGAAGGCGACUUCAGGGACAGUGCCACAGAAAUGUGUACCGCCACGCAAGUGGUAAGGGUGGAACGGUGCGGUAAGAGCGCACCAGCGAUAAGGUAACUUAUCGGCUAGGUAAACCCCAUCCGGAGCAAGACCGAAUAGGGAAGGGAUGAAGCGGCCCGCUGAUCUUCCGGGUUGUGUCGCUCGAACAGGCCGGUAACGGUCUGUCUAGAUAGAUGAUUACCGCUGCGCAGGCAGAACAAAACUCGGCUUAAUGAUUACUCAUCCU